CAGUAGCCACGGUAAUACGUAGGUGGCAAGCGUUGUCCGGAAUUAUUGGGCGUAAAGGGCUCGCAGGCGGUUUCUUAAGUCUGAUGUGAAAGCCCCCGGCUCAACCGGGGAGGGUCAUUGGAAGCUGGGAAACUUGAGUGCAGAAGAGGAGAGUGGAAUUCCACGUGUAGCGGUGAAAUGCGUAGAGAUGUGGAGGAACACCAGUGGCGAAGGCGACUCUCUGGUCUGUAACUGACGCUGAGGAGCGAAAGCGUGGGGAGCGAACAGGAUUAGAUACCCGUGUAGUCCCUGUCUCUUAUAA
This 301-nucleotide ribosomal RNA is filed under the name uncultured bacterium. Its description in RNAcentral is "partial 16S ribosomal RNA". It matches the Rfam family "Bacterial small subunit ribosomal RNA", at positions 509 to 809 of the family's 1533-position model. The record is from RNAcentral.